GACGAACGCUGGCGGCGUGCUUAACACAUGCAAGUCGAGCGGGGUCCAACCGGUGGCAACACCGGGGAAGAUCUAGCGGCGAACGGGUGAGUAACACGUGAGCAACCUGCCCCGAAGACUGGGAUAACACCGGGAAACCGGUGCUAAUACCGGAUGUCGUCAUUAGGCCGCAUGACCUGAUGAUGAAAGGAUUCAUCGCUUCGGGAGGGGCUCGCGGGCUAUCAGCUUGNGGUGGGGUAACGGUCUACCAAGGCGACGACGGCUAGCUGGUCUGAGAGGACGACCAGCCACACUGGGACUGAGACACGGCCCAGACUCCUACGGGAGGCAGCAGUGGGGAAUCUUGCGCAAUGGGCGAAAGCCUGACGCAGCAACGCCGCGUGGGGGAUGAAUGCCUUCGGGUUGUAAACCCCUUUC
This 417-nucleotide ribosomal RNA is filed under the name uncultured bacterium. Its description in RNAcentral is "bacterial SSU rRNA". It matches the Rfam family "Bacterial small subunit ribosomal RNA", at positions 28 to 437 of the family's 1533-position model. The record is from RNAcentral.